UACGGAGGAUGCAAGCGUUAUCCGGAUUUAUUGGGCGUAAAGCGUCCGCAGGUGGUUAUGCAAGUCUGCUGUCAAAGCGCGAGGCUUAACUUCGUAAAGGCAGUGGAAACUGUGUGACUAGAGGAUGGUAGGGGUCGCGGGAAUUCCCAGUGUAGCGGUGAAAUGCGCAGAUAUCGGGAAGAACACCCGUGGCGAAGGCGGCUCUCUGGAACGCAACUGACGCUGAGACGCGAAAGCGUGGGGAGCAAACAGG
This 253-nucleotide ribosomal RNA is filed under the name uncultured bacterium. RNAcentral's name for it is "partial 16S ribosomal RNA". It matches the Rfam family "Bacterial small subunit ribosomal RNA", at positions 524 to 776 of the family's 1533-position model. The record is from RNAcentral.